GCCCAGACUCCUACGGGAGGCAGCAGUGGGGGAUAUUGCACAAUGGGGGAAACCCUGAUGCAGCGACGCCGCGUGAGUGAAGAAGUAUUUCGGUAUGUAAAGCUCUAUCAGCAGGGAAGAAGAUGACAGUACCUGAGUAAGAAGCCCCGGCUAACUACGUGCCAGCAGCCGCGGUAAUACGUAGGGAGCAAGCGUUGUCCGGAAUUACUGGGCGUAAAGGGCGCGUAGGUGGGCGCUUAAGUCAGGUGUGAAAACUCCGGGCUCAACCUGGAGACUGCACUUGAAACUGGGUGUCUUGAGGGCAGGAGAGGAAAGUGGAAUUCCUAGUGUAGCGGUGAAAUGCGUAGAUAUUAGGAGGAACACCAGUGGCGAAGGCGGCCUGCUGGACAGUAACUGACGUUGAGGCUCGAAAGCGUGGGGAGCAAACAGGAUUAGAUACCCCUGUACUA
Molecule: ribosomal RNA, 449 nt
Filed under: uncultured bacterium
Lineage: Bacteria
Description: bacterial SSU rRNA
Rfam family: Bacterial small subunit ribosomal RNA
Source: RNAcentral